UACGAAGGGGGCUAGCGUUGCUCGGAAUCACUGGGCGUAAAGCGCACGUAGGCGGAUCUUUAAGUCAGGGGUGAAAUCCUGGAGCUCAACUCCAGAACUGCCUUUGAUACUGGGGAUCUCGAGUCCGGAAGAGGCGAGUGGAAUUCCCGGUGUAGCGGUGAAAUGCGCAGAUAUCGGGAGGAACACCAAUGGCGAAGGCAGCUCGCUGGGACGGUACUGACGCUGAGACGCGAAAGCGUGGGGAGCAAACAGG
RNAcentral lists this ribosomal RNA (253 nucleotides) under uncultured bacterium. RNAcentral's name for it is "partial 16S ribosomal RNA". It matches the Rfam family "Bacterial small subunit ribosomal RNA", at positions 524 to 776 of the family's 1533-position model. The record is from RNAcentral.